GAAUGAGUACGAUUCGAACCACCUAACGAGGAACGAUCGGAGGGCAAGUCUGGUGCCAGCAGCCGCGGUAAUUCCAGCUCCAAUAGCGUACGUUAAAGUUGCUGCAGUUAAAAAGCUCGUAGUUGAACGUUCGGGUUCCGCGGGACGGGGCCGCCCCGCGAGGGACGGCGCCGCCCCGGGGCUCGUGAUAUCUUAUCUCGCCGCCCGUCGCGAGGCGGACGGAGGGAUGGAUGAGGUUACCUGGAAAAAAUCGGGGCGAUCUAGGCGGGCGAACCUCGCCAACGAACGAUCGGACAUGGGAUAACGGAAGAGGGCGUCGGCUCGACUUCGUCGGUUCCUCGGGCCGAGGCACGUACGGUGAAUAGGGGACGGUCGGGGCCGCCCGUACCGGGUCGUGAGAGGUGAAAUUCUAGGAUCGACCCGAGACGAACUGCCGCGAAGCAUUCGGCAAGGACGCUUUCAUUAAUCAAGAACGAAAGUCGGGGGAUCGAGACGAUCAGAUACCGUCGUAGUCCCGACCGUAAACGAUGCCGACCGAGGGCCCGGAGGAGUUACGUACGACCCUCCGGGCCCUCCCGCGAG
RNAcentral lists this ribosomal RNA (582 nucleotides) under uncultured eukaryote. RNAcentral describes it as "bacterial SSU rRNA". It matches the Rfam family "Eukaryotic small subunit ribosomal RNA", at positions 512 to 1096 of the family's 1831-position model. The record is from RNAcentral.